AUGAGCGGCGGACGGGUGAGUAACGCAUAGGAAUUUACCCGGUAGUGGGGGAUAACCUGGGGAAACCCAGGCUAAUACCGCAUACGUCCUACGGGAGAAAGGGGGCUUUGGCUCCCGCUAUCGGAUGAGCCUAUGCCGGAUUAGCUGGUUGGUGAGGUAAUGGCUCACCAAGGCGACGAUCCGUAGCUGGUCUGAGAGGAUGAUCAGCCACAUCGGGACUGAGACACGGCCCGAACUCCUACGGGAGGCAGCAGUGGGGAAUAUUGGACAAUGGGGGCAACCCUGAUCCAGCCAUGCCGCGUGUGUGAAGAAGGCCCUCGGGUUGUAAAGCACUUUCAGCGAGGAAGAACGCCUAUCGGUUAAUACCCGGUAGGAAAGACAUCACUCGCAGAAGAAGCACCGGCUAACUCCGUGCCAGCAGCCGCGGUAAUACGGAGGGUGCAAGCGUUAAUCGGAAUUACUGGGCGUAAAGCGCGCGUAGGUGGCUUGAUAAGCCGGUUGUGAAAGCCCCGGGCUCAACCUGGGAACGGCAUCCGGAACUAUCAGGCUAGAGUGCAGGAGAGGAAGGUAGAAUUCCCGGUGUAGCGGUGAAAUGCGUAGAGAUCG
RNAcentral lists this ribosomal RNA (606 nucleotides) under Vreelandella gomseomensis. RNAcentral describes it as "bacterial SSU rRNA". It matches the Rfam family "Bacterial small subunit ribosomal RNA", at positions 91 to 699 of the family's 1533-position model. The record is from RNAcentral. Lineage: Bacteria; Pseudomonadati; Pseudomonadota; Gammaproteobacteria; Oceanospirillales; Halomonadaceae.